CAGAAACUAAUGACCGAGAGGAGUACAUGGUCUGAACGGAUUCACAGAGAGCCGCAGGUGGUGGGAUUGCAGCAGUCUAAGGAACAUGGAAUGGACUCGGGAAGGUGGGAGCAAAGAGCAUAUGCUUGAGUAAUGCCCAACGGGAUUUCCACCCGUUAUCAAGGGAAGACGUAUGAUAGUACGUUUAUGGAGAGGGUGUAUUUUUAUACAUCAAUUUAGGUGGUACCGCAGAAGUAUAUUCAAGAGCUUUUGUCCUAAGC
Molecule: non-coding RNA, 260 nt
Filed under: Roseburia sp.
Lineage: Bacteria; Bacillati; Bacillota; Clostridia; Lachnospirales; Lachnospiraceae
Description: T-box sequence
Rfam family: T-box leader
About the family: Uncharged tRNA acts as the effector for transcription antitermination of genes in the T-box leader family. T-boxes are found upstream of many aminoacyl-tRNA synthetase genes and some amino acid biosynthetic genes usually in Gram-positive bacteria.
Source: RNAcentral